UCCCUUAUGCUCAUAACCCUGGUACUCUCA
This 30-nucleotide non-coding RNA is filed under the name Mus musculus (house mouse). The record is from RNAcentral. Lineage: Eukaryota; Metazoa; Chordata; Mammalia; Rodentia; Muridae. RNAcentral also lists the same sequence under 1 other name.